This is a long non-coding RNA of Notolabrus celidotus (New Zealand spotty), 366 nucleotides long. RefSeq lists it as uncharacterized. Lineage: Eukaryota; Metazoa; Chordata; Actinopteri; Labriformes; Labridae. The transcript has 3 exons. The record is from RefSeq and is a predicted model, not a curated record.
CUCUAUACAUGCCCCUGUUUAGAAUUCAAAUAUGAAUAGAUACAAACAAAUGUUAAAACCGGGUGUGUCUGCAGAGGAAACCUUACCUCCAUCUCAUAAACGUCCAUCCUCUGACUGAGUGGCAGGUCAUCCUGCUUCACCUGAGAGCACAGCCUGGUGAUCUCUGCCGCCAGGUGCUGGUUCUCUUGCUGACACACACUCAGUGCUUUCCUCUCCGCCUCCAGGGCCUGAACAAGAUGGCCGACCUCCAAACACCUGAGAGAGAACUGCUGAGAGAGCACCUGCAGCUCCCUCUGAGAGGAGGCCAGCUCCUCCCUGCACACACACACACACACACACACACACACACACACACACACACACACA